Molecule: ribosomal RNA, 116 nt
Filed under: Gammaproteobacteria bacterium
Lineage: Bacteria; Pseudomonadati; Pseudomonadota; Gammaproteobacteria
Source: RNAcentral
UCUGGCGGCCAUAGCGAACAAGAACCACCCGAUUCCAUCCCGAACUCGGAAGUGAAAGUGUUCAGCGCCGAUGAUAGUGUGGGGCUUCCCCAUGUGAGAGUAGGUCACCGCCAGGC